RNAcentral lists this ribosomal RNA (440 nucleotides) under uncultured bacterium. RNAcentral describes it as "partial 16S ribosomal RNA". It matches the Rfam family "Bacterial small subunit ribosomal RNA", at positions 339 to 795 of the family's 1533-position model. The record is from RNAcentral.
CUACGGGACGCUGCAGUAGGGAAUAUUGCACAAUGGGCGAAAGCCUGAUGCAGCAACGCCGCGUGUGCGAUGAAGGCCUUCGGGUCGUAAAGCACUUUUCGGGAGGAUGAGAAAGGACAGUACUCCCGGAAUAAGUCUCGGCUAACUACGUGCCAGCAGCCGCGGUAACACGUAGGAGGCAAGCGUUAUCCGGAUUUACUGGGCGUAAAGCGCGUGCAGGUGGGUUGGUAAGUUGGAUGUGAAAUCUCCCGGCUCAACUGGGUGAGGUCGUUCAAAACUGCUGGACUAGAGGACGGUAGAGGAAAGUGGAAUUCCCGGUGUAGUGGUGAAAUGCGAAGAUAUCGGGAGGAACACCAGUGGCGAAAGCGACUUUCUGGCCCGUUCCUGAUACUAAGACGCGAAAGCUAGGGUAGCAAACGGGAUUAGAUACCCCGGUAGUC